This 3414-nucleotide unclassified non-coding RNA is filed under the name Leishmania donovani. RNAcentral's name for it is "gene:LdHU3.31.1030(CDS-product:ATP-dependent_zinc _metallopeptidase_putative)". Lineage: Eukaryota; Euglenozoa; Kinetoplastea; Trypanosomatida; Trypanosomatidae. The record is from RNAcentral.
CGCACUCUCGACGACGCCCUCUGAACACACACACGCACACACACAAAAAAAAGAACCCCUACGACGUUGGGCGUGCGUAAUCAAAUCGGAGACACGUGCAGCCGCUUCAGCUCCUCGUUGGGGACGCAAUCAGCCGUCGUUAUUCGAUAGCAUAAUCGCCGCCGCAUUCAUUCUCAUCGCCUACUUGCCUGCAUUUUUAAGAAGGUGAAAGCGCCUGUGUCUUUUCUGUUGCUCUGUUUCUUGGUUGCUCUUCCACUUGCCUAGGCCCCCCUCUCUCUUCCUCAAUCAGUUCCUCUCAGAUGUUCUCACGCCGUUAUCGAGGUCCUGUCCCGGUUAUCGGUGCCAGCGCGCAUGCCGCGUACCAGCCGUCUGCGCUCUGCAGGGCAACACGCGCCAUGUCUCGCUUUUCAGUUAGCCCCUUCUCUUCUGCCUCGGUGGCUCCGAGCGCGUCAGCAGCUCUUCAGUCACCUUCUGCCUCGCACAGGAAGUGGGCGCAGCGAUGGGUGACAAUGCAGUCACUGGCAGCCGUGACACCGAGCUACUUCUCGGCCGCGCUUCAGUCCCGCUACACGCGUGUGCCUGCCACCGGAACACAACCAGCGCAGACCCCUAGCACACCAACUUCACUCUCAGACGUAAUGACGACCAUCCGCUGCCUCUCCUAUGCGGACCGGCUGCACCGCCAUCUCGGUACGCCUCGCCACGUCGAAGACGUCUGUGCGAGCGUGAAGAGCAGCCAGAAGCUCAGCGCCCUCUUCGAAACGCUUCGUCAGCGACCCAUCGGCAGCGCCUCAAGCACGGCUUUUCAUACGAAGGGCGUGCUGUUGAGCAAGGAUGGCGGCCACCGUGGCGGAGAAAACGGCAAAGGCGAGGAGGAAGGGGCGGCGGAUGAGGGGGAGGAUAAGCCGGAGGACUGGAUUGUGCCACGCACAUGCCUCUUUGUCCUCAUCAUGAUUGCCAUUACGGUGGUGUUGUACCAGCUGGCGCGGCCGAGCGGCACCCAUACGGGAUGGGCCUCGUUGAACAAGCACGCUGGUGAGAUCAAGGAGGCAGUGCUGUAUGAGAACUACCUGCAGGUGUACAUGGACGACGCCAAGGUGUACUUGGGGCUUGUGAACGAUCACGACACGCAGCGCCACAUGGACGAGCUGGCGGACAACUACCGCGCCGCCCGGAAGCAGACCUUGAAGGCGCAGCAGCAGCAGAGCGGGGAAACGGCCCCCGCAGACGGUGGGAAGCACGAGCAUGGCAGCAAGCUGCCCAUGGCCGCCGACACGCCCGCGGAGCUGGAGUUGACCAUGAAGGGGCGCCCUUUUGCCGAGACGGCACUAAUCGGCGUCGGGGCCUUUGCCUGGGUUGUGCCCUUUAUCUUCUUUCCCGUGUUUGUCAUGUUCCUUUCUCAGUACAUUGGCAAGUCGAUGAGCUACGCGGUGGAGGCGACGAAGGGGAAGACGAAAGCGAAGGAGAUGAUCUUCCGCGUCGAUACGGCGUCGAACACGCGCUUCCGCGACAUCGCAGGGAUGAAGGAGCCAAAGAAGGAGAUCACCGAGAUUGUGGACUUCCUGCGCCACCCGGAGCGGUACACGAAGCUCGGUGCCAAGAUUCCGACCGGUGCCAUCCUGCUCGGCCCCCCCGGUACUGGCAAGACGCUGCUCGCGAAAGCUGUGGCCGGGGAGAGCGGGGUCGGCUUCAUCCCGGCGAUCGGCUCUGACUUCGUCGAGCUCUACGUGGGCAUGGGUGCACUGCGGGUGCGGCAGCUGUUCAAGGAGGCGCGCAAGCAGCGCUGCAUUAUCUACAUUGACGAAAUAGAUGCAAUAGGCCUGAAGCGGCAAGGGGCCGGCCACGGCGAAAAGCAAGAGCAGGAGCAGACCCUAAACGAGCUACUCACUCAACUGGACGGCUUCAGCACCGGGCGACGCGGUGAUGUAAUGGUACUCGCCUCGAGCAACGUGGCGCAGGAGGCGCUGGACCCGGCCCUCAUCCGCCCCGGCCGGUUUGACCGCAUCAUCCACGUCGACACACCAGUCAUCUCCGAACGCAUCGACAUAUUCAAGGUCCACCUCAGCAAACUGAAGCUCACCUCAGACGACACGCGCGGUGACUCUGCUGCGGCGACGACAGCAACGGCAGGAGCAGCGGAUGGGGCCGCAGGAGGUGCUGAUGCUCCAACGGCGCCGCCAUUAGCGGCGCCAGUUUCCACGGAGACCAGUCUCGUUCUGUCGCAGGUGAAGACGGAGGAGCGCGAAACCGCGGAAGAGCGUCAGCGAAAGGAUGACGCGAGCGCAGCAGUGUCGGCGGACGCCAAGGGAAUCUCAUCAGACAACCCCAGCAGCAACAGCAGCGCUUACGAGUUCGACAUCCGCUCCCUUCUCAUGCAGAAGUCUGAGAGGGAGCGGGCGUUGAUUGACGCGUACGCGCAGCGCAUGAGCAACCUCUGCCCCGGCUUCGUUGGUGCCGACAUCGCGAAUGUCUGCAACGAAGGCGCCAUCCUUGCCGCUCGGGAGGGGGCCGACCACGUGAGCAUCAGCCACCUCGAGCGUUCCAUCGACCGCGUGCUCGCCGGAAUCGAGCACCGCAGCCGUGCGCUCUCGGAUUUCGAAAAGAACGUCGUUGCGCACCACGAGGCGGGCCACGCCGUGGCUGGCUGGUUCCUCCACCGCGCAGACCCACUGAUGAAGGUGUCCAUCGUCCCACGCGGCGGAUCGGCGCUGGGCUACGCGCAGUAUCUGCCGAACGAGAACUUCACCCGCACGGCAAAAGAGAUUCGCGACUCGAUCAGCGUGACGCUCGGCGGGCGAGCGGCGGAACAGAUCUUCUUCAAUCAUCUCUCCACCGGUGCCUCAGACGACCUCCGCAAGGUGGCCAAGAUGGCCUAUCAGUACGUCUCGUCUUUCGCCCCGGGCUCCGUCUAUCCGCCGCCUGGCAGCAACAGCACUCGCCUGGUAAAGCCGUUUGGCGUGGACAAGGCGAAUGAUUUUGAUCGGCGUGCGAAAACGCUAGUGGACGAGGUCUACGCAGACACGCUGGCGUUGCUGACGAAGCACAAGGACGACAUGAAGAAGCUGGCUGACCAUCUUCUCAAGCAUGAGCUGCUCACCUACGCGGACGUCGUGCACUACCUCGGCGAGCGUACCACUCGGCAGACCGACAGAAAGAAGGGCGUCUAGUCGGUCAGUCAAUGCGGAUAUCUUGUGGGGGGCUGGAGAGGCUGGUCGGUCUCCAGCGGCCAAGAUGACGAGGAUGUGAAGUUGUCGGGUACGCUGGCGCAGUGAUUUGUGCUUGGUGACGCAUGCUGCAGCGUUUGGGGGGGGUCCAUGCGGUGGGGUGCGAGACGAUAACGUUGUGGUCGCACGAUUUGGGUUUACUGUAGACGUCGCCGCGUCUGGUUGUUCGCCUGUUGGACACAGAAUGACG